This 237-nucleotide ribosomal RNA is filed under the name uncultured bacterium. RNAcentral's name for it is "partial 16S ribosomal RNA". It matches the Rfam family "Bacterial small subunit ribosomal RNA", at positions 540 to 776 of the family's 1533-position model. The record is from RNAcentral.
GUUGUUCGGAACUACUGGGCGUAAAGCGCACGUAGGCGGCGCAGCAAGUCAGGGGUGAAAUCCCGGGGCUCAACCCCGGAACUGCCCUUGAAACUGCAGUGCUAGAAUUCUGGAGAGGCGAGUGGAAUUCCGAGUGUAGAGGUGAAAUUCGUAGAUAUUCGGAAGAACACCAGUGGCGAAGGCGACUCGCUGGACAGACAUUGACGCUGAGGUGCGAAAGCGUGGGGAGCGAACAGG